UGCCAUGAUGUCGUAAUUUGCGUCUUACUCUGCACUUGGCGACAGUUGCCUGCUGUCAUUUGGCUGAGACAGGUGGUUGACGAUCAGUUAACUCUGAGCA
Molecule: small nucleolar RNA, 100 nt
Organism: Eublepharis macularius
Lineage: Eukaryota; Metazoa; Chordata; Lepidosauria; Squamata; Eublepharidae
Product: small nucleolar RNA SNORD16
Exons: 1
Source: RefSeq, a predicted model, not a curated record